GCAGCAGUGGGGAAUUUUGGACAAUGGGCGCAAGCCUGAUCCAGCAAUGCCGCGUGAGUGAAGAAGGCCUUCGGGUUGUAAAGCUCUUUUGUCAGGGAAGAAACGGUGAGGGCUAAUAUCCCUUGCUAAUGACGGUACCUGAAGAAUAAGCACCGGCUAACUACGUGCCAGCAGCCGCGGUAAUACGUAGGGUGCAAGCGUUAAUCGGAAUUACUGGGCGUAAAGCGUGCGCAGGCGGUUUUGUAAGUCUGUCGUGAAAGCCCCGGGCUCAACCUGGGAAUUGCGAUGGAGACUGCAAGGCUUGAAUCUGGCAGAGGGGGGCAGAAUUCCACGUGUAGCAGUGAAAUGCGUAGAGAUGUGGAGGAACACCGAUGGCGAAGGCAGCCCCCUGGGUCAAGAUUGACGCUCAUGCACGAAAGCGUGGGGAGCAAACAGGAUUAGAUACCCUGGUAGUCCACGCCCUAAACGAUGUCUACUAGUUGUCGGGUUUUAAUUAACUUGGUAACGCAGCUAACGCGUGAAGUAGACCGCCUGGGGAGUACGGUCGCAAGAUUAAAACUCAAAGGAAUUGACGGGGACCCGCACAAGCGGUGGAUGAUGUGGAUUAAUUCGAUGCAACGCGAAAAACCUUACCUACCCUUGACAUGUACGGAAGCCACGAGAGAUCGAGGCGUGCUCGAAAGAGAGCCGUAACACAGGUGCUGCAUGGCUGUCGUCAGCUCGUGUCGUGAGAUGUUGGGUUAAGUCCCGCAACGAGCGCAACCCUUGUCAUUAGUUGCUACGAAAGAGCACUCUAAUGAGACUGCCGGUGACAAACCGGAGGAAGGUGGGGAUGACGUCAAGUCCUCAUGGCCCUUAUGGGUAGGGCUUCACACGUCAUACAAUGGUACAUACAGAGGGCCGCCAACCCGCGAGGGGGAGCUAAUCCCAGAAAGUGUAUCGUAGUCCGGAUUGUAGUCUGCAACUCGACUACAUGAAGUUGG
This 983-nucleotide ribosomal RNA is filed under the name uncultured bacterium. Its description in RNAcentral is "bacterial SSU rRNA". It matches the Rfam family "Bacterial small subunit ribosomal RNA", at positions 348 to 1329 of the family's 1533-position model. The record is from RNAcentral.